RNAcentral lists this ribosomal RNA (465 nucleotides) under uncultured bacterium. Its description in RNAcentral is "bacterial SSU rRNA". It matches the Rfam family "Bacterial small subunit ribosomal RNA", at positions 330 to 793 of the family's 1533-position model. The record is from RNAcentral.
ACCAGACUCCUACGGGAGGCAGCAGUGAGGAAUAUUGGUCAAUGGGCGAGAGCCUGAACCAGCCAAGUCGCGUGAGGGAAGACGGUCCUAUGGAUUGUAAACCUCUUUUGCCGGGGAGCAAAAAGCGGUACGUGUACCGCAUCGAGAGUACCCGGAGAAAAAGCAUCGGCUAACUCCGUGCCAGCAGCCGCGGUAAUACGGAGGAUGCGAGCGUUAUCCGGAUUUAUUGGGUUUAAAGGGUGCGCAGGCGGCCUUUUAAUCCGGCGGAAAACGCCCGGGGCUCACCCCCGGCGAGCCGUUGAAACUGGCGGGCUGGAGUUGGAGAGAAGUACGCGGAAUGCGCGGUGUAGCGGUGAAAUGCUUAGAUAUCGCGCAGAACCCCGAUUGCGAAGGCAGCGUACCGGCUCCACACUGACGCUGAGGCACGAAAGCGUGGGUAUCGAACAGGAUUAGAUACCCGAGUAU